This 198-nucleotide ribosomal RNA is filed under the name uncultured bacterium. RNAcentral describes it as "partial 16S ribosomal RNA". It matches the Rfam family "Bacterial small subunit ribosomal RNA", at positions 1303 to 1500 of the family's 1533-position model. The record is from RNAcentral.
GUCUGCAACUCGACUGCAUGAAGCUGGAAUCGCUAGUAAUCGCGGAUCAGAAUGCCGCGGUGAAUACGUUCCCGGGUCUUGUACGCACCGCCCGUCACACCAUGGGAGCCGGAAAUGCCCGAAGUCAGUGGCUUAACCGAAAGGGGAGAGCUGCCGAAGGCAGGUCUGGUAACUGGGGUGAAGUCGUAACAAGGUAAC